This 1070-nucleotide long non-coding RNA is filed under the name Homo sapiens (human). RNAcentral's name for it is "HSALNT0266933". The record is from RNAcentral. Lineage: Eukaryota; Metazoa; Chordata; Mammalia; Primates; Hominidae.
UUCACACUCGUUUUGAUAUGAAAAAAUGCUUUUAAUUGCUUGCAAAUUCAAUUACUUACCAUUCCUCCCUCCCCAAACUUGGAGUGACUCUUCAUGCUGCUGGCAGAUGCAACACAUUUUUCAGCAACUUUGGGCAACCCCGACUUACCCACCACCCUCAUUUUGCCAUCCUCAUUUUCACCUGAGGCUCACAAUAUCUGUGAACAGCACAGCUUCAAGCCACGGUUCUGAGAUGCUAAUGAUGGUAUUUCUGGCGCCAGCUGGUAGGUGAGGAUAACAUUUGGGGCAAAAGGGUCUCCUUGGCCCAGCUGAAGACAAAUCAGGUGGACAACUGCCCCUUGCUGUAAUCAACUCAGCUGGCACUGGGUGUGUGCAGGGCCCUGUUCCAGGCAGUGUGGGGAACCAGACAUGUGAACUAAUCGUAUGACUACUGUGUCCCAGUGUGGAAUGUCCUGAGUGUGUGAACCCUUUGCUGCUCAAAGUGUGGUCUGGGGACUACCUACAUCAGCGUGACCUUGGAGCUAGGGGGAGAGGCAGAAUCUCAGGCCUGCUGAACUGGCAUCUGCAUUCUAACAAGAUCCCCAGGCCCAUCAAAGUUUGAGAGGUGUUGCUCUAACCCUCCAUUCCUUCAUGAAUCAAUCACAGACAUUGAUUAUCCAGCCUUGUGCUGAGCACAGGGAUGCAACAAUGAGUUUGACCCAGUGCACACCCGUAAGGGCUCUCAGUCUUGCAGGAUCUCACAGAGGCCUACAUUUGCUUUGGGAACCUGGGACUGGGGAAGAGCUUCUAAAGAGGGAAGGCAGUAAGGAGGUCUUCCAGGAAGAGGUGGCAUCUUGGCUAGUCUUUGAGCGAUGAGGGGGAUUUCACCAGAUAGAGAUAGGACAGAAGGGCAUACCUGGCAGAAGGAAUAGGGUGAACAAAGCUGGGUGGUAUCAUCUGUCAUUGGUGGCAAGGGGAGACUUAGUAUAUUAGUGUCCCAGGACUGCCAUAACGUGGGUGGCUUAAGCAACAGAGAUUCAUUUUCUCAUAGGUCUGGAGGCUGGAAGUCCAAGAUCAAGGUGUUGGCAGGG